RNAcentral lists this ribosomal RNA (249 nucleotides) under uncultured bacterium. RNAcentral describes it as "partial 16S ribosomal RNA". The record is from RNAcentral.
CUGCUGCCUUCCGUAGGAGUCUGGUCCGUGUCUCAGUACCAGUGUGGGGGACCUUCCUCUCAGAACCCCUACGCAUCGUCGUCUUGGUGGUCCGUUACACCGCCAACUAACUAAUGCGACGCAUGCCCAUCCGCCACCGGAAUUAACCUUUGGCACCAACAGGAUGUCCCGUCGAUGCAUUAUGCCGUAUUAGACGGAAUUUCUCCCGAUUAUCCGGCUGUGGCAGGCAGGUUGCAUACGUGUUACUCA